This is a long non-coding RNA of Calidris pugnax (ruff), 160 nucleotides long. RefSeq lists it as uncharacterized. The record is from RefSeq and is a predicted model, not a curated record. The transcript has 3 exons. Lineage: Eukaryota; Metazoa; Chordata; Aves; Charadriiformes; Scolopacidae.
UCCAAAUAGCAUCUAUGGCAAUGUUAGGGUGUGAAACUAAAAAUGAUUGCUGCCACACUGUGACAUGUGGAGUGUGAGCAUUGUCAAUACCAGAGAGGACAGAGGGUUAUCUGGAACAGAGCAAAGCUCUGAGGGUGGAUUCUGAGCUGGAGAAGAUGUG